UAUAGCCCAGUUGGUAGAGUACAUGCCUUGUAAGCAUGAGGCCCUGGGUUCAAUCCUCAGUA
This 62-nucleotide transfer RNA is filed under the name Ictidomys tridecemlineatus (thirteen-lined ground squirrel). Its description in RNAcentral is "Spermophilus tridecemlineatus (thirteen-lined ground squirrel) tRNA". It matches the Rfam family "tRNA", at positions 6 to 65 of the family's 71-position model. Rfam says of the family: Transfer RNA (tRNA) molecules are approximately 80 nucleotides in length. Their secondary structure includes four short double-helical elements and three loops (D, anti-codon, and T loops). Further hydrogen bonds mediate the characteristic L-shaped molecular structure. tRNAs have two regions of fundamental functional importance: the anti-codon, which is responsible for specific mRNA codon recognition, and the 3' end, to which the tRNAs corresponding amino acid is attached (by aminoacyl-tRNA synthetases). tRNAs cope with the degeneracy of the genetic code in two manners: having more than one tRNA (with a specific anti-codon) for a particular amino acid; and 'wobble' base-pairing, i.e. permitting non-standard base-pairing at the 3rd anti-codon position. The record is from Rfam by way of RNAcentral. Lineage: Eukaryota; Metazoa; Chordata; Mammalia; Rodentia; Sciuridae.